ACGGGGUGCAGCAGGCGCGAAAACUUUACAAUGCGGGAAACCGCGAUAAGGGGAUACCGAGUGCCAGCAUAUUAUGUUGGCUGUCCACAUGUGUAAACGGCAUGUGUUAGCAAGGGCCGGGCAAGACCGGUGCCAGCCGCCGCGGUAACACCGGCAGCCCAAGUGGUGACCGUUUUUAUUGGGCCUAAAGCGUUCGUAGCCGGAUAGGCAAGUCUUUGGGUAAAUCCUACGUCUUAAGCGUGGGAAUUCUAAGGAUACUACCUGUCUUGAGGCCGGGAGAGGCUAGAGGUACUUCUGGGGUAGGGGUAAAAUCCUAUAAUCCCAGGGGGACCACCGAUGGCGAAGGCAUCUAGCUGGAACGGGCCUGGCGGUGAGGAACGAAACCCAGGGGAGCGAGCCGGAUUAGAUACCCGGGUAGUCCUGGGCGUAAAUGAUGUGGGCUUGGUGUGAGGGCAUCGAUGUGGUGCCCUUGUGCCGUAGGGAAGCCGUUAAGCCCACCGCCUGGGGAGUACGGUCGCAAGGCUGAAACUUAAAGGAAUUGGCGGGGGAGCAC
RNAcentral lists this ribosomal RNA (553 nucleotides) under uncultured archaeon. RNAcentral's name for it is "bacterial SSU rRNA". It matches the Rfam family "Archaeal small subunit ribosomal RNA", at positions 325 to 879 of the family's 1478-position model. The record is from RNAcentral.